UUUAGUUUUGUGUGAGCGGUGUUAUAAUAUACUUUUCCGGUUUGAUUCAUUCGUUUUAAUAAUAUCUAUUUAUUAAAAUUGGUGCGUUUGUGAGCUGUUUUAAGAUUGGUUUGUUGAUGCUGCUGGUAAGACGAGGCAUUUCAAUGAUCGAAUCCUGAGAAUUGGAUCACAUCGAGGAUCCAGAUUUUGAAGCAAACUCCGAAUCAGAUUUGUUUGGUUGGAUACUUUGAUGGCAUGUAGGACAAAACUACAUACACAGCGCUGUUUUGUUGAAUACUAAUUAGCUCAGCACAUGGUUCGACACUACAAAUAAUUUUUCCGAUGAACAUGGACGAAAUCAGGAGUAACAUCGUACCCAACAAUCUUAUAUAGCAGCGGCCAACAAUCCAACAACACCAGACGUACAUCUCUGAACUAUAGUAUACAGUUAAACAGAAUUAGCAACCGUCGUCCUAUCAACAGUAAACAGCCGGAUGUAUUUGAGUAUUCCAAUUCCCUCCAAGGCCCUGUCGGUCUUUCCUGAGCUCGUGAAACAUCAAAUCAUGGAAUGCUUAGAAGCUCAUCGUAACAUUUACUACCAUCUUACAAACAGUAAAUCCAUACAAGUAGAUCCAUCAAUCCAACAUGGAAAUUGGAAGCGGUGGCAGGACAGUAGUGACUUCCCGCCGGAGACGGUGGGGAAUAAAUCAAGCUCGGAAUACGACACUCACGAACAGGUGCACGGUGCACGGACAGAUAAACCUCCCCAUAGGAACUUUCAUAACCGUCUGAUUGAUGCAAAUAAUGCUCAUAACUUUUGUUCUAUUGAAGAGGAAGAAGGCAAAGAUACUCUCAAGCGGCACCCGCUGGUAGCCAACCGAUUCAUUUUUAUUAA
Molecule: long non-coding RNA, 874 nt
Organism: Armigeres subalbatus
Lineage: Eukaryota; Metazoa; Arthropoda; Insecta; Diptera; Culicidae
Exons: 5
Source: RefSeq, a predicted model, not a curated record